UUUUUGGAGAGUUUGGACAAAAGGACUUCAAACUGUUUCUCCGGUAUGACGCGAGGAAGAGUUCGGUGGCCGUAACGAUUCCCCAGCAACGCCUUUGGAGCCCAGAUGGAGGGAAGUAAAGAGAAGAGCAAAAGUCUUUUGCAUAUUGGAGCAGCUAAAGCCACAUGAUGCAAGGAAAUUGAUCAAACCACGGUGUUUAGACAAACAAAUCCAGCUUGUUCCUUUUCACAGAAAAUGUUUCGGUAACAAUGUGUAAAGGAAGACUCACAAUGAAAGCUGGACCGGCUGAAAUCCUUUGACACCUCUUGAUCUCCUGCAGGAAAAUCUCGCAGGCCUCAUGGUCUCCGAAGGAGUCACUUCGAAUCCCCCAACACAGAUCCACCACCUGAACAGGAAGUGACCUCACUGAUCAACGAGCAGGAUUUUUAGGUUGCAUAAUGUAGCUUUUGAACAUAAACAGUGAACAGACCGGUGAAGGUGGAGCUGACGAACACUCGAAUCAUGUUGGAGCCGGUCUCCGUCCUCGGAGUUCCAUCUAUUCGUCCUCUCAGGACGUCCUGCAGGCUGACUUCUCCUCCUCCUCCUCCUCCUCCUCCUCUACCUCCUGCUGCUGGAUGCUCUGCCAUGGUUUUCUUCUUCCUUUCCUUCUUCUCCUCCAGACUUAUCAAGACGUCUGGUCUCCCCCUCCUCUGCUCAGCUGCUCUUCAGCCUGUUUUGUUUCCCUCUGAGAAUUUUCUCCACGACAACCGGUUCUACAGUGGGUGUGACUGUAGUCUGUUCUACUCACAGGUUUCUUAUCAAGAAAUAAGACUGGAACAUUGUUUGAUCAUCACUGCGGAUAUGUAUAGCAUGCAGUGAUAGCUUUGUAUGCAGACCAAAGUAAUGCUACGAUGUAGAAAUGUUCUUUUACAAGUCCUGCAUUGAAAAGGUUUUCACAUACAGUGGCAGUUAUUUUUAAAUCAAUCCAUUUAAUCAGUGCAAUGUGUACAAAAUGAUCUUGUUCAAAUGAAACUUUCCUUGUUAUAUCUUGGUUGCUAUUGAGAGGUGCAGGAAUGGCAUCUUUUUGUAGGCCAACCAUGAAGCCCGAAAGGCCAAUGGGAUUUUUCAAAAAUGUCUUGGUACAAAUGAACAACAUUUUCAUUAUUUCUUUUAAGAAAUAUAUAAAGUAUGAGCUUGAAUGAAGCACGAGCUAUCCAACUAACUGCUUCGUUACCUGUACUACCACUUGUAAUUAGUUACAGUGUAUAAAUAACCUAAAUUAGCUGUAUCUUUAACCAGACUAUUUCACAUCAUUGAAUCAACUGUAUUUCAGUUCAUACUGGUUUUUUUACUAGUUUGUUGACACCUUUUAAAUAUAGUUUUUAGAUUUUAAUAUCUUAAUGAUGUUAAUCAUGUACCUAUACAGCAUAUUUAUUUAUUCGUUGUCAUGUCUACUGUGUGUAUAAACUGCUUUUGGCGGCAAACAAGUUUCCUCUCUGGGGAUAAAUAAAGCUUUUCUAAUUAAAUCUAAAAAUAUUACAGGUCUCUCUUUAAAUCUCACUGAAUUAAAAAAAAACACUCUAAACUUAAUUUAAUAAAUUAAUCCCAUCUGUUAACUAGAUGUGAAGCAAUGCAGGUGAAUUAGUAAAAGAUGAUUAUUUAGAGUGUUAUUAACUAUCUCUUUCCCUGUUUUCUGUGGAUUCAGUAUCUUCAAACGGCGCACAUUGUAUCAGCUCAGUUCACCUCGAUCUGUGUGCUGGGACCGUAGGAGUCCUGGCCCCCAGGGGGCCGCUGCCAGCAGCUGCAGCUCAGUGCUAAUUACGCUGCAGAGAGAGCCAGGGGGUUGAAGCUCUCUGAGGACAUUACAUCAGCCCUGGUCCCCUGCUGAUGCCUCGUACUUCCCAUCCCUCCACGGACCAUCUGAACGUCAUCACCUUCACAUACUGGGAGCAGGAAAUCCUUAUUUGGCUAAAGAGGGUUCCUUCAAAUGUCACACAUAGCAGCAACCCAAACAAUUCUUUGGGGGGAUCGCAUGGCCGACAUCGUCUCUUAAAAAAAUCAGCAUUAGGAAAAACACUGUCCAUCAAAUCUGAUGGUGUCCAGGCACCAAACAUCAUGAUGAAACAGUGACUCCACCUCUUCUGGUCCCACAGGAGUGCUGUCCUCAGGUCAGCUGUCGACUGCGACGUGAUGCUGAAUGAGGGAUGGAGCCGGGUCUCUGUGUGGGCUCCACAGUCAGCGACCUGCAGCUGCUUUCAUCCAUCUUAUUCACCCACCAGCAGCAGGCUGGGUGUUGGAGUACCCCUAGGGCCCAGCUGGGUUAGCUUAUCCUGUAUCUUGGCUCUCCCCCCCGGGGAAGUUUGGUGAUCAAAUCAGGUCCUGUACCUGUUUGAGCGUUGAAGUCACCCCCACAGAGGUGUUUUGGCCCUGGGCCUAGGAGUGACAUGUCUGGAUGGAGAUCUGUUGACCUCUCCUUGAUGGCAUGAGGCCUAUAAGGAGGGCUGUAUAUUGCACACGGGUAUAAAUCAACC
Pungitius pungitius (ninespine stickleback) is the source of this 2510-nucleotide long non-coding RNA. RefSeq lists it as uncharacterized. Lineage: Eukaryota; Metazoa; Chordata; Actinopteri; Perciformes; Gasterosteidae. The transcript is spliced from 4 exons. The record is from RefSeq and is a predicted model, not a curated record.